Molecule: unclassified non-coding RNA, 336 nt
Filed under: soil metagenome
Description: partial contains 5.8S ribosomal RNA, internal transcribed spacer 2, and large subunit ribosomal RNA
Rfam family: 5.8S ribosomal RNA (bases 1-120)
Source: RNAcentral
GAUGAAGAACGUAGCGAAAUGCGAUAAGUAAUGUGAAUUGCAGAAUUCAGUGAAUCAUCGAAUCUUUGAACGCACAUCGCGCCCGCCAGUAUUCUGGCGGGCAUGCCUGUUCGAGCGUCAUUUCAACCAUCAAGCCCCAGGCUUGUGUUGGGGACCUGCGGCUGCCGCAGGCCCUGAAAACCAGUGGCGGGCUCGCUGUCACACCGGGCGUAGUAGAUUUUAUCUCGCUCUGGGCGUGCUGCGGGUUCCGGCCGUUAAAAAACCCUUUUAACCCAAGGUUGACCUCGGAUCAGGUAGGAAUACCCGCUGAACUUAAGCAUAUCAAUAAGCGGAGGA